CAUAGUCCUGCAAGGCUCCCCAGAACCCUAGACAUUCAGUAUUUAAUCAGGUAUUUAGUUCAAGUACACCGAGCGGCCUCACCUCUGACCGAGAAGGACGACUUCGUCUGAAAACGAUUGGAUUGACGAGCAUGCUCUUUAUGGAUACGACUCCAAUCUUGCCGAGUCUACACAUCAAGAGGACAACAGGGUAGGAAACACAACAUCGACUCCUCUGAAAAACAGGCAUCAAACAACCAAAGACUCCUCCAAGGCCAAUACAAACACAGAAGACCCAAUACAACAAGAGGAAGAGGAGGAAGAUGAUGACUGAUGACAUACUGAGUAAAACACCUAAACCAGUUGAUACAUUCAAUGGUGUUAAUGUCAAGGAUGAUGAGGUCAAUGAAGGUGCUGAUGAAGGGUUGAGCUAUGAUGAGGAUGAUGAGUUGAUGAGGACGAUGAGUUGAUGAGGAUGAUGUGUUAAUGUCAAGGAUGAUGAGGUCAAUGAAGGUGCUGAUGAAGGGUUGAGCUAUGAUGAGGAUGAUGUGUUGAUGAGGAUGAUGAGUUGAUGAGGACGAUGUGUUGAUGAGGAUGAUGAGGACGAUGUGUUGAUGAGUUGAUGAGGAUGAUGUGUUGAUGAGGAUGAUGUGUUGAUGAGAAUGAUGAGGAUGAUGUGUUGAUGAGGAUGAUGUGUUGAUGAGGAUGAUGAGGAUGAUGUGUUGAUGAGGUUGAUGUGUUGAUGUGGAUGAUGUGUUGAUGAGGGUGAUGUGUUGAUGAGGAUGAUGUGUUGAUGAGGACGAUGUGUUGAUGAGGACGACGUGUUGAUGAGGACGAUGUGUUGAUGGGGAUGAUGUGUUGAUGAGGUUGAUGUGUUGAUGAGGACGAUGUGUUGAUGAGGAUGAUGUGUUGAUGAGGAUGAUGUGUUGAUGGAUGAUGCGGCUAAACAGUUUGACACAAUCAGUUCUGAGGUAGAGCCUCUACUGAUUGAAGAUAGGUUUCUCACAGCCUUUUACAGGACUCUAAAAGUCAGAGAGGUCCAAUUACUAGAUAGGUUUCUCACAGCCUUUUACAGGACUCUAAAAGACAGAGAGGUCCAGUUACUAGAUAGGUUUCUCACAGCCUUUUACAGAGCUCUAAAAGACAGAGAGGUCCAGUUACUAGAUAGGUUUCUCACAGCCUUUUACAGGACUCUAAAAGACAGAGAGGUCCAGCUACACAAACAUAUGGUUGCUUAACUAAGACGGCAGUACAGCCAAGACCUAUCCUUCUGGCAUAAAACCAUGCCACGAUUGAUAAGCAUCAAUUUGAUUAAAAAACCCAAACAAACGAUAAAAGCCUUAUGUAACAUGGAAACUUCUUAAAUAACGC
This 1350-nucleotide long non-coding RNA is filed under the name Salmo salar (Atlantic salmon). RNAcentral describes it as "lncRNA (ENSSSAG00000121460.1)". The record is from RNAcentral. Lineage: Eukaryota; Metazoa; Chordata; Actinopteri; Salmoniformes; Salmonidae.